AUUGAACGCUGGCGGCAGGCCUAACACAUGCAAGUCGAACGAGUGGCGGACGGGUGAGUAAUGUCUGGGAAACUGCCUGAUGGAGGGGGAUAACUACUGGAAACGGUAGCUAAUCCCGCAUACCAUCGGAUGUGCCCAUAUGGGAUUAGCUUGUGGGUGGGGUAACGGCUCACCUAGGCGACGAUGCCUAGCUGGUCUGAGAGGAUGACCAGCCACACUGGAACUGAGACACGGUCCAGACUCCUACGGGAGGCAGCAGUGGGGAAUAUGGCACAAUGGGCGCAAGCCGGGUGCAGCCAUGCCGCGGGUAUGAAGAAGGCCUUCGGGUUGUAAAGUACUUUCAGCGAGGAGGCGUUACUCGCAGAAGAAGCACCGGCUAACUCCGUGCCAGCAGCCGCGGUAAUAC
Molecule: ribosomal RNA, 406 nt
Filed under: uncultured bacterium
Lineage: Bacteria
Description: partial 16S ribosomal RNA
Rfam family: Bacterial small subunit ribosomal RNA
Source: RNAcentral